CCAGCAGCCGCGGUAAUUCCAGCUCCAAAAGUGUAUCUUAAUGUUGUUGCAGUUAAAAAGCUCGUAGUUGAACUUCUGGCGUUGCCGCAGUCCCUUCUGGGACUAUACGGGGGCGUCAUCCGCUUGGAAAGGCAUUCUGUGGGCGACCACGUGUGUCGGAACAGGCAUUUUACUUUGAAGAAAUUAGAGUGUUCCAGGCAGGCCUUUGCUUGAAUAUAUCAGCAUGGAAUAAUGGAAUAGGAUUACUCCUUUGGUUUUAGGAGUUUUAAUGAUUAACAGGGACAGUUGGGGGCAUUCGUAUUCAUUUGUCAGAGGUGAAAUUCUUGGAUUAGAUGAAGACGAAC
This 344-nucleotide ribosomal RNA is filed under the name uncultured eukaryote. Its description in RNAcentral is "SSU rRNA". It matches the Rfam family "Eukaryotic small subunit ribosomal RNA", at positions 567 to 940 of the family's 1831-position model. The record is from RNAcentral.